UGUAACAAUUGGCUCCUUCAAGCCAGUUCAGUUGGUGCCAGCACACCAACUGGGGGAUGCUGUCACCAACGCUGAAGCUGGAGGAUGGAGCACAGGAAGGCGUGAGUGCAGGGUUGAAUUCUUCAGGAAUACGUCUUGGGAAGCAAGAGAUGAUAUCGCGACAGUUAAAAGGAAGAGGCAUGAACUUCAGUGUUGAUAAGUGCUCUUCUGGUAACACAGACCAGAUUUCUAGAUGUCCUACUGGCAGCCGACCUUUUCUCGUGAACUCCAGUCAGUGGCCAAGGGAGAGGAGCAUCAGUGCUUUAAAAUCUCUUUUCUAUGCCUGAAGCAAACAUUUUACAACAUUUCUCCUUGAUACGAAAUCUCUGCUUGGACAUCUGGCUUCACAGUGAGGAACUUUCAAUACACUAGCUUCAAAGAAAGGGCUUGGCCCUGCUGGUGCAGUGAUGCCAGAAGAAUGUUCCACCGUCUUUCUACAGAACUAUUUCUAACAAUUCCCCCCAAUGAACUUCUGAGAGUCCAGUGGAGAGAGUUAACUAACAGACAGCUCGGCUUUGGUGUGCGCCUGAUGGGCCCUUGCUGAGCUCAGAAAUGAGGGAUAAACAAGGUGGAGGACGUUUUCUUAGAAUCUGCCCACGAAGUCCCUGUUACCAGCAGAUCGGCGUUAGCUUCGCAGUCUGCUGCGCCAUCGCAAAGCCUUCACAGGCAUGCUGCCGUCAAGAAACUAACAGGAGAGGGAAGGGACAUGAUUGGUUUCCAGAGCCUUCAUGUAUGAGAUAACAGCAUUCAUUUAUUCAGCAUAUUUCUAGAACUUCCAGUGACCCAAACUCCGAGGGCAGCGCUUGCUCUCAGGAAGCUUAGAGUCUGCUGGAAGGACAUUCAUCCAAACAGAGGCUCAGCAUCUCCUCUUUGCAACGGGAAAACCCUCUCUUAAAAUCACAGAUUAUUUCGGGAAGGGUGUGGUUAUCUUGUGAGGCCACAGUCCUGACUGACGUCGUGAGGGUGUUUGCAGUUUCUCUUUGUCCCCUUCGGGGGAUAUCCGCGUGUCUCACUAUGCACUGUGUCUGGCGCAGCGUGUUGUCCCAGAACCACCUGGAGAUGAAGUACAAGCUCUAUGUCACCUCCCUAGAGCCUGAAGCGCCUGAGCAGCAAAACACACUCAAGCUCAAGGUUUUGGAUAAAGGAAAAACUUGGGGACCGGCAUUACAGUGUGGCGAAAACUUCACUGGAUAAAGGAACAAAGCUGGCACGAGCUUCUCUCUGACACUCCACAAUCUUAAAGGGAAAGGACUCUAUGUAGGGAGCCUGUGCCGUCACCAGAGAGCGUGAUGGUUGAGGGCGAGCUGUUGAUACGGUGGUGAGAAGGGCAACAUCUAGACAAGUGGUUCUCAAAGGUUUUGGUCUAUUCUUUAACAAUAAAGAAUCCCAAAAAGGUCUUAUUUAUGUAGGUUCCAUCAGUAUUCACCAUAUUAGAAAUUAAAAUAAAGAAAUAUUAAAAUACUUAUUAACUCAUUAAAAAUAACAGAAACCCAUUAUGUGUGACAUAAAUAUGCUUUUUAAAUAAAAAAUAAACUUCUUUUCAAAGCAAAAAAAAAAAAUAGCAAGAAGUGUUUCAUAGUUUUGCAAAUCUUUUUACUGCCUGGCUUAACAGAAGGCAGCUAGAUUCUCAUACCUGCUUCUGCAUUCCAUGUCUUGCAAUGUGUUGCUUUGGUUGAAGUAUAAGAAAACAAUCCAGUGUCACACAGAUAAGCAGCUGGAGAGGGAGGGGUCUUUUAGAAACCUUUUCAGGUGACUGUGGAUAUUCCUAGUGACUACAGCAAAAAUUAGCAAGUAGCAGUUUCUUUAAAAAGUUGCAAUGCAGAAUCGGAAACUCUACACCUUCAUAUACUAUUUUAAUGUUACAUUAAAAUUCGUUAGUCAUAGUUCCCGUUGUGGCUCAGUGGUUAACGAAUCCAACAAGGAACCAUGAAGUUUCGGGUUCGAUCCCUGGCCCUGCUUAGUGGGUUAAGGAUCUGGUGCUGCCAUGAGCUGUGGUGUAGGUCGCAGACGUGUUUCGGAUCCUGUGUUGCUGUGGCUGUGGUGUAGGCUGGCAGCUGUAGCUCUGAUUAGACCCCUAGCCUGGGAACCUCCACAUGCCGAGGGUGUGGGCCUAGAAAAGAAAAAAAAAAAAGAAAAAUUGUUUAGUUUGUUUUGUAUUUUGAAUGGAUCUUUCACCUAUGCCUGAUUUUGCAACAUCCAGGUGUUGGUUGUUUGGAAAACACUGGUUCGGUGAGUUACAAAAAUCUUCCAAAUGUUGAUACGCUUCAUUAAUUCUUCCCUGUUUCUUCCCAUGCACAUCAUUAGGAAUAUCACCGAUCAGAAAAGUCUUUAAGUGCUAGCAAGCUGUCAAGCUUACAGCGAGGGUAUGAAUUUUCCAAAUUCCUGAUUUUUGCUUGAAAGCUCAAGUUUUAUUGUUAGCAACAACUCAGUCGGUUGUUGUCCUUGAAGUGUCAGGCUUACUUCCUUCACUUUCAAGAGAAUCUCUGCCAGACAGUCAAACCGGAAGACACGUAGUUAGCCUGUCAAUCCUUCUUUCCAAGUGACUGGAGCUCAGCUCACACUCAAGCAAAUGCAGAAUGGCUUUUCCUUGACACAACCACACUGCUUCAUUGUGCAGCACCAGUGCUUUAAGUGUACUUCUGAUGGAUAGUAAAAAGAUGUAUGUACUCCCAAGGAUUGAGAUUUAAUAAAAUUAAUACUAUUUAUUGUUCCAGUUUUCUUUUUCUUUUUUGGCCACACCCGUGGUAUAUGGAAGUUCCAGGGGCCAGGGAUCGAAUCUGAGCUGCAGCUCUGACCUACAGCACAGCUGUGGCAAUGCAGGAUCCUCAAUCCACUGUGCCACAGCGGGAACUCCAUUUCACUUUUAUUUUAA
Molecule: long non-coding RNA, 2911 nt
Filed under: Sus scrofa (pig)
Lineage: Eukaryota; Metazoa; Chordata; Mammalia; Artiodactyla; Suidae
Description: lncRNA (ENSSSCG00045018927.1)
Source: RNAcentral